Ruditapes philippinarum (Manila clam) is the source of this 10610-nucleotide long non-coding RNA. RefSeq lists it as uncharacterized. NCBI's taxonomy places the organism in Eukaryota, Metazoa, Mollusca, Bivalvia, Venerida, Veneridae. The transcript has 2 exons. The record is from RefSeq and is a predicted model, not a curated record.
GGCAAAAGUUUACUGACACCGGGCCAGAUUGCAGUUAUAACAAUCAGCACAACUUUUGCUUUCUACCUCACCAUAAUGUUUGUAGUCUGUAUGGGAGAGUAUUGUCAGUAUAAAAAAGGCAAAAAGAAAAAGAUGGAGGUAAGAAGAAAACUACAUUCAGGGUAUACUACAUCAACGGGCAAUGCGGAAAGUGAUAUACGAUCAGGUUCACAGUUUGAUUCCAGUGUCAGCCAGUCAGAUUAUACAUCAUCAUUUCAAGCGAGACAAUCUUCGAGGUACGAGCCUCAGCCUACUACAUCAAAACGAAGUGACAGUGUUCAAAACCAUUCCAUAGAAGAGAAAUUAUUAAACGCUGGACUUCAAACCAGUAUAUCCAAUGACGAUAUUGAGACAAUUCCUUUUGAGGAAAGUUUAAGUAAUGUCAAUACUGACUGUGAUAGAGCGUGUGAAAGUGGCAGCCAAGAUGUUGUUAUGGUUCCACUCAUUUCCAGACAAUGUGAUGAUAUUUUAGACAUUGACGGUGAAAUUUUCUGUGAUAGUGUAGACUCUCGGGACAUGUAUCAUCUAGAAGCCGAUGUCUGAAAAACCAUUUAAUACACAUGUAAUAUUUCAGCAUAGUGUAGGAAUAAGGGUAUCUACCAAUUGUUGUGUGUAUUUUUUAUUUGUGAUAUAUUAAAGCUUACAGUGAUUGUAAGCUAUGUUUAUGUGUUAUUAUAAGUAUUAUAAUUAUGUAAAUGAUUUGUUUGUUUCACAAGCAUUUUACCAUUGUAUAUCUUAAACAUGUAACUUCAGUUGAUUUAUGACUAGAAGAUGAAAUUUUUCAUAAUGUUAUUUGGUGAUUAUCUCUGUACCCAUAAAUAAAUUUUUGGAAAUGUUCUUAAGUGCACAAUUAUAAUCUAAAGCAUAUGUAUAGUUUAAAGCCUAUGUUAAAAAAAUCUAAAUCUUUAAUAAUGGCAAAUAUAUACCAAUCCUUGCAAAAUAUUGAUUUUCCCAUGCUGCAAGGAAUAAAAUGUAUGAAAUUUGAAAGCUAGUACAACAUUAUUUUCCUUUUAUCAUAUACCUAUAAAUAUCAAGAUGAAAAGAGAUUCAAUUUCCUGAAUUUUUAUUAGUUAUUUCACAAAUAGAGAUAUAUCUGCCAAGAACUAAAAUUCAACUUUGCAAAUAAGACAUCCUCCUAGUAUCGAUUCCCAUUUCCAAAUACUACAUAGCACAAGGCCUGUAUGGGAACCAACAAAGAAAAAUAGUCCAGCACUUCCAUAUUAUGUACCAUAUUUGUCACUAACAUUCAUACACAUUUUUUUUAUCCAUUGAAUCAUAUUCGCACUGCAGGACAUGCAUGUAUUUUAGGGAGGACAUUUUUAGGUGCACUGUAUAUAAUAAAGCUCAAUAUAAAUUUGUUGAUUUAAAUGCUUUACAAUGCAUAAUAAAAUGAGCCACGUCAUGACAAAACCAACAUAAUGGGUUUGCAACCAGCAUGGAUCCAGACCAGCCUGCGCAUCAGCGCAGUCUGAUCAGGAUCCAUGCUGUUCGCUUACAUACCCUGUAACAAGUACUAGUAGAGAAACUGAUAGCGAACAGCAUGGAUCCUGAUCAGACUGCGUGGAUUCGCAGGCUGGUCUGGAUCCAUGUUGGUCGCAAACCCAUUAUGUUGGUUUUGUCGUGGCGCUGCUCAAAUUAUUUAUUAGUCCCAGAAUAUCAGUAUUUUUGUGCAUAUGAGAUUGACAGCUUGAAGGUAUUAAUAACCCUUCAUUGUUGAUCUUGUUUUUCACAUUUUAAUAACUUGUCCAUGUCAUUUUUAAAGUCAGACUAACGUGCAUCACCAUGUUAUAAGAUUAGUAUAUUAUAGAUUACCUGCUCAACUAUAGUAUAUUGAUAUUUAAUACACCUUAAAUUAAAAAUGCAUAGUUAGCUAGUCAAAGUCAGAAAUGUGCCCUUAACACAAAUUAAGAAAGGAAAUUAUUGAAACAGGUGUUUAAGUCUGCACAAGCAUUUUUAUUUAUUUAAAUUUAAACUUUCCUGAUAGUUAUGUGCAAGUAUACCAAGACUUUUUGUUCACAACUUUUAACUCACAUUACAAUGUCUUUAAGGAUGGUACAUCUUAAAUUAAAUGAUUUUCUUUUUUAGAAAUUAUUUUGAUAUAUUUUUAGCUCACCUGUCACAAAGUGACAGGGUGAGCUUUGUGAUCGCUUUUCGUCCGGCGUCCGGCCGUCCGUCCGUCCGGCGUCCGUAAACUUUUACUUUAAAUGACAUCUCCUCAUAAACCACUAAGCCAAUUUCAUCCAAACUUCACAGGAAUGUUCCUAUGGUGGUCACCUUUAAAAAUGGUUCAAAGAAUUUAAUUCCAUGCAGAACUCUGGUUGCCAUGGCAACCGAAAGAAAAAACUUUAAAUAUCUUCUUUUAAAAAACCCUAAGAGCUAGAGCUUAGAUAUUUGGCAUGAAACAUCUUCUAGUGAGUGUCUACCAAGUUUGUUCAAAUAAAAUCCCUUGGGUCAAAAUUUGCCCCGCCCAAGGGGGUCAUUGAUUUUCCAUAUAUGCAUAUAGUAAAAACUUAAAAAAUCUUCUUAUAAAAAACCCAAAGAGUUAAAGCUAAGAUAUUCAGCUUGAAACAUCUUCUAAUGAGUGUCUACCAAGUUUGUUCAAAUAAAAGCCCUGGGGUCAAAAUUGGCCCCGCCCCAGGGGGUCAUUGAUUUUCCCUAUAUGCAUAUAGUAAAAACUUAAAAAAUCUUCUUUUAAAGAACCCAAAGAGCUAGAGCUAAGAUAUUCAGCAUGAAACAUCUUCUAAUGAGUGUCUACCAAGUUUGUUCAAAUAAAAGCCCUGGGGUCAAAAUUGGCCCCGCCCCAGGGGGUCAUUGAUUUUCCCUAUAUGCAUAUAGUAAAAACGUAAAAAAUCUUCUUUUAAAGAACUCAAAGAGCUAGAGCUAAGAUAUUCAGCAUGAAACAUUUUCUAAUGGAUGUCUACCAAGUUUGUUCAAAUAAAAGCCCUGGGGUCAAAAUUGGCCCCGCCCCAGGGGGUCAUUGAUUUUCCUUAUAUGUGUAUAGCAAAAACUUAAAUAAUCUUCUUUGAAAAAGCCCAAAUAGCUAGAGUUUAGAUAUUAAGCAUGAAACAUCUUCUAGUGAGUGUCUACAAAGUUUGUUUCUAGUGAGUGUCUACAAAGUUUGUUCAAAUAAUAGCCCCGGGGUCAAAAUUGGCCCCAACCAGGGGGGUCAUUGAUUUUCCCUAUAUGCAUAUAGUAAAAACUUAGAUAAUUUUCUUUGAAUAAACCCAAAUAGCUAGAGUUUAGAUAUUAAGCAUGAAACAUCUUCAAGUAAGUGUCUACAAAGUUUGUUCAAAUAAAAGCCCUGGGGUCAAAACUGGCCCCGCCCCAGGGGUGUCAUUGAUUUUCUUUAUAUGUGUAUAGCAAAAACUUAAAAAUCUUCUUUUAAAAAAACCCAAUGAGCUAGAGCUUAGAUGUUUAGCAUGAAAUAUCUUCUUAUGGAUGUCUACCAAGUUUGUUCAAAUAAAAGCCCUUCGUUGAAAAUUGGCCCUGCCGGGGCUAGGGGGGAGGGGGGGAGGAGGGUAAGAUCAUUGUUUUUCAUUACAUGUGUGUAGUAAAAACUUAACAUUGUGAAACAUCUUCUAAUGAGUGUCUUCCAAGUUUGUUCAAAUAAAAGCUCUGGGGUUAAAACUGGCCCCGCUCCUGGGGCCUAUAUACAGGUGAGCGAUCUCAGGGCCAUCAUGGCCCUCUUGUUUAUAUUAUUUUUAUGCCCCCAUUUCGAAGAAAAGGGGGUAUAUUGCUUUGCACUUGUCGGUCCGUCGGUCUGUCGGUCCGUCGGUCCGUAGACCAAAUGGUUUCCGAGUGAUAACUAAAGAACCCUUAGGCCUAGGAACUUCAAACUUGGUAUGGUGAUUGGUCAUGACAAGUAGAUGACCCCUAUUGAUUUUGGGGUCAAGGGGUCAAAGGUCAAGGUCACAUUGACCUUGUAAGCAAAAACGGUUUCCGAUCAAUAACUAAAGAACCCUUAGGCCUAGGAACUUCAAACUUGGUAUGGUGAUUGGUCAUGAUCAGUAGAUGACCCCUAUUGAUUUUGGGGUCAAGGGGUCAAAGGUCAAGGUCACAUUGACCUUGUAAGCAAAAACGGUUUCCGAUCAAUAACUAAAGAACCUUAAGGCCUAGGAACUUCAAACUUGGUAUGGUGAUUGGUCAUGAUCAGUAGAUGACCCCUAUUGAUUUUGGGGUCAAGGGGUCAAAGGUCAAGGUCACAUUGACCUCUUAGGUAAAAACAGUUUCCGAUCAAUAACUAAAGAACCCUUAGGCCUAGGAACUUCAAACUUGGUAUGGUGAUUGGUCAUAACCAGCAGAUGACCCCUAUUGAUUUUGGGGUUAAGGGGUCAAAGGGCAAGGUCACAUUGACCUUGUAGGUAAAAAUGCUUUCCGAUCAAUAACUUAAGAACCCUUAGGCCUAGGAACUUCAAACUUGGUAUGGUGUUUGGUCAUGACCAGCAGAGGACCUAUUGAUUUUGGGGUCAAGGGGUCAAAGGUCAAGGUAACAUUGACCUUGUAAGUAAAAACGGUUUCCGAUCAAUUAACUAAAAACGCUUAGGCCUAGGAACUUCAAACUUUGUAUGAUGAUUGGUGGUGACCAGCAGAUGACCCCUAUUGAGUUUUGGGUCAAGGGUCAAAGGUCAAGGUCACAUUGACCUUGUAAGUAAAAUGGUUUCUGAUCAAUAACUUAAGAAUGCUUAGGCCUAGGAACUUCAAACUUGGUAUGGUGAUUUUUCAUGACCAGCAGAUUACCCCUAUUGAUUUGGGAUCAAGGGGUCAAAGGUCAAGGUCACAUUGACCUUGUGAGUAAAAACGGUUUCUGAUCAAUAACUAAAGAACGCUUCGGCCUAGGAACUUCAAACUUGGCAUGGUGAUUGGUCAUGACCACCAGAUGACCCCUAUUGAUUUUGGGGUCAAAGGUCAAGGUCACAUUGACCUUGUAUGUUAAAACGGUUUCGGAUCAAUAAUAAAAGAACCCUUAGGCCUAGGAACUUCAAACUUGGCAUGGUGAUUAGUCAUGACCAGCAAAUGACCCCUAUUGAUUUUGGGGUCAAGGGGUCAAAGGUCAAGGUCACAUUGACCUUGUAGGUAAAAACGGUUUCUGAUCAAUUAACUAAAAACGCUUAGGCCUAGGAACGUCAAACUUUGUAUGAUGAUUGGUCUUGACCAGCAGAUGACCCCUAUUGAGUUUUGGGUCAAGGGGUCAAAGGUCAAGGUCAUGACUAGUAGAUACUUGAUAACCCUUAUUAAUUGUUUGAUCACUGGGUCAGAAGUCAUGCAUAAUAACCUUAUCACAUUAAUAAUUGGCUGCUGAUAGGGGGCAUACAUGUUUUACAAACAUAUCUUGUUGUUAUAUAAUCUUCCAUAUUAUUAUUAAUAAUUCUUCAAGAGUGACAAAAAUGGCUGCACAGUUUUGGUUAUUUCAAAAUUAUUCAUAUACAUGUACAUGUAAUUGAAAGUUAUUUAUUUUAUUGUAAGAGUUAUUUUUAAAAGUCUAUUUUAGUCUACAAAGCAUUAAUUUGACACAUUGUUUUGAUUAUUAUUCAUGAUAUUUUUACAUUCAUUGGUGAAUACAUGCAUAAAGUAAUUUCCUUGAUUUGUGGUCUCAUUAUGUGUAUAUCUAAUUUCACACUCUUAUUUUACAUCUUGUGUUAAUUAUUGUCAUUUUCAGUGUUUAUUGUUUUAACUAAUGCAGUAUUUAAAUGAGUCUCCAGUUACCUCUCUGGCGUGGGUUCGAUCCCCGGGAGAUGCUUUGGUAGUUUAGCGCGGAGGAAGGUAGUCUAGUACUGGUGUAACUCUCCAGGAACAAUGGUUAGGAAACUACCCGCCUAUAUGACUGAAAUACUGUUGGAAAAAGGCGUAAAAACAAACAAACAAACAAACAAAAAUUUAAAUGAGUCAUAUAUACAUUAAUACUAUUGUUAUACUAAUAAUAAAGGAUAUAAGUUAACAUAAUCAUUGCAUAUCACUAACAUAGCAAGAACAUUACUAAUUCUAACAAGGCUAAAUUUCAGGUAUAUAUUAUAAAUUUUUUUAUAUAAUUAUAUAUGUAUCAUAAUGUUUUAGUUUUACAGUUCAGGACCAAUUUGUAUCAGGUUCAAUUUUUUUUCACAAAUUUUGCACACUCUUCAUCCCAUUUUGACUGAGUGGUUUUCAUCAACAAAGAUUUAAAAGAAAAUAUUCUGAAUUAUUUAAAUUAUGUCUUCCUUAAAGUGGUAUGAGGAGACAGAAAUUUGGUAGUUAUUUGUAUGGAUAAAGAAAAAUUGUUUCACCAUUUCAUAGGUUGAAACAUUUACUGAUUUAAUUUGAACAUCUGAAAAUGUCUGAGAAAUGAAUAUAUUUUUCUAGAAUUAAAAUGCCAUGAGGCAUUAUUAAAUUAUUCAUAAAUUUGACAAAUUCAUGCAUGCUAUAUUUUCACAAAUUUCAUUAUGCUCAUUUCAUUAAAUUUUGUUUUCAUAUAUAGACAUACAAGUACUUGUGUUCCAUUUUAUAAAGGUUUAUACACUUCGAUGGUUAUUUCAAAGGACAUUUGUCUCGGAUUACAGACCAUUAAAUGGUUUUAUGGCUGUAAGUCUUCUUAAGGCCAUGUUAAAAUUAUGGUUUCUUGCUGUUUUUUUUAUCUUUACUGAAAUAUGUUUGGCAUAGAGUUGUUAAUUUCUGUCUCAGAAAUCUAUGUCUUUAUUUAUUAUUUCAAUAUAAUGCUAGGAAAGGAUAGGUUGGAACUGUAUUGAUGACAUUUUUCAGAAUAAAAUAAAAAACUUUCCUCCAAGCAGUUGGACAGACAACAAACAAACUUUAUUUUCAUAUCAUGCCUUAACUAAUGAUUUCUCAACAAUUUUCACCCUGCAGAAAUGUUGAGUAAUUGAAAUUAACCAUUGAAAAUUGUCUUACCACAUUAGCUGAGAGGAUAUUUGUAUUGACUUUAACUGUACCAAUAAUUGCUACAAGGUUUAAUGCUGUCAUGUACAGACACAAUCUGUAGAGAUCUCUGAUAGUUGUUUAAAAUCUCUGCUUGGUGCUACAGUACAGUAAAGAUCAGCUGUUUAUAGAAGCUUUAUAUGUUUUAUGGUUGUCAUAAGUUAAAAUCUCGUGUAAAUUUAAUAUACAGUUUCAAAGCAAACAAUGUAUGAGAUUUAAGUGUGACUGUAAAGAUAUAAUCAGCUCUAUAAAUUGUGAUUAAGCUGGUACACUAGUCAUGUUUGUGCUAUGUUAAUGUCAGCUUGGGUCCCACUUAAGGUGAUAUAUGGAAAAGAUAUUAGAAAUCUUAAUAUUAAAGGUAUUAGAAAUGGAAACUAAAUUUUUGAAAAAAUUAACAUAGCAGGAAAGCAUCAAGUUAAUAUUUUUAAAGCCACAUAUUUUUAAAGCCACAUGAAAUAGAAAGCAUGAGGCACUUUCCAUUUGAACACAGGCAUGAGAAAACGACCCCGAGGUCAUUGUACAAAUGACGUCAAAAGACAUUAUCGUUGUAAUUGAGGUUAAAAAUAAAAACGGGAAUUACCCUUAAAUGUUAAAAAUAGAUAUGAAUGGAAAGAUGCCAAUAAGCAAAUUUCAAAAGCUUUUAUUUAUAAAGAGCUAUAGAAUUGAUUUUUUUUAAGAAUUCACUUCGUCAAUUAAAAAAAGGUAAUUGAUGAAUUGAUGUUAAGGAUCGUUUUGUCAUGAAGGCUUUCAUUAACUGUUGGAAAUGGGUAAAAAGUCAUCCGUUGUCCUACAGUGAUGAAGCUACCUACCUGUGUAGUGAUAUGUUGUUUGCUGUAUUGAAGAACAAGGCCUUACUUGAACGUAUAUAUUAUAUAGGUAGGCAUCUGGGGUUUUAUGUGACCUGCACAUUAUUUUUAUUUCAGUAGACUAAACAUAACACAUUAUUUCAAGAAAACCAAGACUAAACUUAUUACCCUUUCAAUAAUGACUUUUUAAGUACUUUGGUGCAAGUAUGCUUUAAAAUAAAAUCUUAAAAAAUUUCUCUUCUCUGUAAAUGUCUAAUGCCUAGACAAAUAUUCAAAUCUUUGGUUGCUAGACAACAAAAAUCCAUUACGUUUCUAUGAAAAGCGAUCACUGUCAUUUGAUAAGUCUAGGUGGAAUGUAUGGACACAUAUUAAAUCAUGAAUUAAUGCAAGAACAUGUCAUCCAUUAUUUACGACAGUUACCUACAUUUAUAUAUUGAUUAUCUGCACAACAUUAGUCUUUUGUGUGCUGCAAUUUUGCACUUUAAUUUCCAGUUUAUUAGUAAAUGUAAUGUAGCGUUGUGUUAUUCUAUAGGGAAUGCUUUACUUCAUCUGAAUCUUUUGGUUGAAUGCAUUUUACUUAUAUUAUGAUGGGAGUGCUUUAUUUACCUAUCAGACUGUAGGAAUACACUAUCUUAUAUCAGGGAAGUGCAUUAUCUUAUCGUGGUGGAAUGCAUUCAUGGGGAAUCUUUUUCUUGACUCUUAAAGAUAUUCCAUGAUUGUUAUAAUUGAUUAAAUUUUAUAGAAUGGGAAUGUUUUAUAUGGUUUCAUGGACUGUGUUGAUUUAAUUGUAAUUGCCUAUAAGCAAAUCGGCAACAAUACUGUUUAUUAUUAAUAUUUUUCUUCAAAAUCCUAGUUAUUUAUUGCCAACACUUAAAAGGAAUAUAUUGGCUGUGUCAGUCUGAUACUUAAUGGCAAUAAUAAAAACGUGUAUUGUGUAAAAAUACUGUAAUGUGUGAAAAUUAAACUACUGUUUAAGGUACUAACUUUUAACAGAAAUUACUGAUUAUUUGUCAAAUAUGUAGAAGAUUAUCUUACCCCAAGUAGUAUUUUUUGGUAGUGCUUUUGUGAUAAAAAUAUUCUGUUAUAUAUUUUCAUUUCAUAUCUUUAGCUUAACUAAGAUUUGUAAGUGCAAAAUAAGAUAGAUUUACUAAGGUGUAGGUAGUAAUAUAAUGUAAACAUGUAGUCCAAGUACUACUCAGUAUUAAACAUUGACAAUCAAUAAUCAAAUUAUUUCUCUUAUUUAGUUUUUAAUUUUUAUAACAUCUACAUGUUACAAUCUUACACUCAUGUCAUGGCAUGGCCCAGGGGUUAACUCAUGGGACUAGUAAUCUUAGAGGAUCGUUAUCAAUGUACCCUGUCAAGGGUGAGCCGUUGUUUCUUUUGAGCAAGAAACGUUACACUCAUUGCCCAGUACUGAUUUAUUCAAGGAAAGGACUGGGGAAUGUGUCUAUAAGCUUUCUACAUAAUCAAACUAAAUUAAAUUCUGUAUAAAUCAACAAUCAAUUUCCUGUCAAGUUGUAAAGGAGAAUAGAAAUGAUGAGAAAGCUAUUUAUUGAAUCUACAACGAAAAUGGAAUUAUUUUACAGGUUGCUUAAGUUUGCCUUUCUAAGGAGGUAAAAUACCAAAUAUUUUGUUACUAAUUAAUGUAAAAGAACCAUUUUUAUGCUCCCAGUAUGUAGUAUUUCGUAUUAUUUAUGAUGCUCAGUAUUUCAUUUUAGAAGUUAAAUGUUGCUAUAUAAAAGAACAGUAUAUAUACUCCGACUAUUCACAAUUAUACGGUGAUGGUUUGGUCCUUUGUAUGCAAGUACAUACAUUCAUCUGUUAUCCUUAACCGACUGACAACUUAAUAAGGUAGUAAACCUUAGUUGUGGAACUUGAUAGGUUGAUAUGGACAUUGGCCAUGACAAGCAGAUAACUCUGUAUAAAGAUUUUAAGGUCAGUAGGUCAAAGUCACCAUGGCCUUGACCAUUAAAAGCUUGACCAACCAAAAACUACAUAAUGCUUUGGCAUAUAGUCUUAAGAUUGUGUAUAGAAGUUGGUCAUUGCUAGUAGAUGUUCUUUAUCGAUUUUGAGGUCAAAGGUCAAGGUCAUUGUGGAAUUUACCAGAAAAAGUGCUAAGAUCAAUAACAUAAUUUGUGUCAUGUUUAUAAUUAUGGUAAAUGCUACAUGUCACACCAUGAUAUUUUGUAUUAUUCAGGGUGCCAUAACAGGGACUGUGUUACUAUUAUACUGCAUAAUAUGAAUUCAUACAUAUGUGUUUUACAUAUUACCAUGUCAUAUUCUUUUCAGUUUAGCCUGAUUCAUUCAUGAUAAAUAUUGUUGAGCAUUGCACCAUGCUUUGUAUAUGUUAAUUCACAAAACAAUGAUUGGUUUAGCUGACAAUGAAAAGACUUGUAUUGCAUAAUUGAUGUUGCUCAGUUUCAUAAGCAGUGUUCAUGUUACAUGUUUUGUUUUCUUUUCAAGUUUGUAAUGAAGCUCUUUUUAAGGGUUGUAUUGCAUAAUUCAUGAUAAAUAUCAUGUGUUAUUUAACUGUAUCCAUGUUAAUACCAGUUAUUGAGCAUUUUCCAUAUUGUCAAGUGCUAAAUUGCACACGUUUGUGUUGCCCAUUGGCAUAAAAAGCAUUAAUCAUGAACACAGGUAUUGUUAUACAAUACAUAAGUUGAUACAUUGACAUAAGCAUAAUGCCAAAAUCAUGAUUUAUUUUUGAGAAUAUUAAGGCUAUAUUUUUAUUUCGUAAUCAAGCCUUAUUAUAUGUUGUACCUUUUACUUUAGCUUGUGUAUUAUGAAUUUAUGAUACCGUCAGUAGCACAGUGUGAAUUGUCAACUUUCUUCCAGAAAACAACAAUAAAAAAUAAAAGUAAA